UCGAGAGAGAGCUCGGUGCGCUCUGACCCGGACACAGCCACGACCCAAGAGAGAAACCCGACCGGAGUGACGCCGUCCGGCCACCGAUCGACUACUCACGACCACCGAUAUCUUCCUCUAGUCGUCGCCGUCACGGUACUGUCCCUAUCUUGAUCGUUUGUCGACUGUGGAGAUAGAAUCGACGCCGAGAAGACCAGACUGCUACGGUGAUUUCGUGGCUAUUUCCGGCGACUCCGGUCACCGAUUUGUCUGCAUGUGUGCACGGCGGCUUUUCCAGUGCUUCUUGGGCUGACAUUGAUAAUGUUCCUGGUCUUAAAACUUAGGGUGAGGCUUGAUCUUGUUGAAAAGCAGAAGUUGUAUCGAAUUGGAACGAAGAAGAAGAUUCUCGUCGUGGUAAUUUUCAUCUCUCUGCUGUACUUUUCGCUGCAAGACAGGAUUUGCUUGAAUGAAUAAUCUGC
Molecule: long non-coding RNA, 458 nt
Organism: Rosa rugosa (rugosa rose)
Lineage: Eukaryota; Viridiplantae; Streptophyta; Magnoliopsida; Rosales; Rosaceae
Exons: 3
Source: RefSeq, a predicted model, not a curated record